GCCAGCAUGGUGUAGUGGUUUGAAUGUUGGACUGCGACUCUAGAAACCAGGAUUCAAAUCCCUGUUUGGGCA
This is a non-coding RNA of Phrynosoma platyrhinos (Desert horned lizard), 72 nucleotides long. Lineage: Eukaryota; Metazoa; Chordata; Lepidosauria; Squamata; Phrynosomatidae. The record is from the annotation of a GenBank genome assembly.